Osmia lignaria (orchard mason bee) is the source of this 4670-nucleotide non-coding RNA. The record is from RefSeq and is a predicted model, not a curated record. Lineage: Eukaryota; Metazoa; Arthropoda; Insecta; Hymenoptera; Megachilidae.
CUUCUAUUCUAUCGAAUUUAUCAAUGCGUAAAUAACUAUAUUUUUUAAUUCGGUCAUAAGUAUGAAUAUGUAUACACGAUUAAUACAAUAGCGUAUUACAAAUAGAAAAAUCUAUCAUUAUCAUUAGAGGAUAAUUUGUUACAAUUUCCUACUUCGUUAAAUUAACAUUCAUUUAUUUUGUUAUCACUGCAAAAUGUGAAAGUGAAUAGGCUUCAAGAGGUUUUUAUCCGUUUAUAGCUGCACAACUACAACGGUGUACUAGCGCGUUUUAAAGGAAACUGAUGUGUCCCGUUUCACGUAACGUCUUCAUAAAAGAAUAUUUCUCAUGGAGCUUUGACGUGUAAGAAAAUAUGGAGCACGAUAUAAAAUGAUACAUGGAUUUUGAACAAUGCUUCGUGGUAUACCUACGGUAGGCAAUUAAGAAGGCGCAUGCGUAACAAUACGCGCGCAACUCCAUGAAAAACAGCGCGUUAUUUUAAACAGGUAUAUUUGCAGACACAAAGUAUCACGGUUAUUAAAUAUGCUUUUUAUUUUACCUAUUAGUAAAUAUGUGCGUUUCUGGACGGGAGGGUGACAAAACCACUUGAUUGCCACCCGAUGGUGCUUCGCUUUCCUGAGAUUCAAAUUUGUACAUCUCAGGUUGAGAUAGUGUUUCGGUCUCAGCAGGAGUACGCAUUCUCGUUUAUCAUUUGGUACUCUAAUUCUGAAACAAAAUUCAAUGAUGUAUCAAAUAAGCUGCUCAUUUUUUUGACACUGGUUAAAUUUUCGAUAAAUCUAUCGUUACUUGUCUCGUCGCCGCGUGUAUACCGGGGAGUAGUGUUACCAGGAAUGAAGACCGGACGAAAAAGAAAUCACCUUUGGCAUAACAUAGGGAGGUUGGGUUCAAUGGAAUGUCGAUCUAGUAAGAGGCGUGGUAUGUGGCGGUCACAUACCAAACUUAACCGUGAUUUUAUUUUUCGUGCAAAUUCCUUAAGUCACUGACUUCCAUUAUUUCCAUAUACAUAAUGAGAAAUAAAUGAGCAGGGUUAGGUAACGAGAAAUAAGACAUAAUUAGAACUAAACCAUACUUUGAACAAAUUUUACUAAGGAGUUUUAACAAAAUUAUAAAUAACACUCUUUUAGUUAUAUGAUGUUUAAUGAAUACAAUGUAACAAAGUUACAGAAUAAAUUAACCAAAAAUCUAACCGGCUCAAAAAAGAAAUGUCUAUAAUGCGUACUGGUUCAACCGCGGAACCCUUUCGCUCCGUGAAAGAAAAAAAGAAUAUGGAGUUUUGUAUAGUGAGUCAUUCGUAGGCGUGUCUUGGAUUAAUCCCAAGCACCUGUGUCCAUGUCUAGGUAAGCUCUAACUUCCUAGUAAUAACCCCUGAAACCUUCUAAAUCUUCUAGCGGCAACUUGCUCCCUACGCAAACGGUAAUGACUCUGAUAAUCGUUAUCGUUUCAAUUACAUAUUUUCAGAUUAUGCAAAAUUAUAUUAUAAAUCAUUAAAAGCUCGUUAUACCAAAUGUAUCUUACUGUAUAAUUGCAACUGUGAAUUUUUGUCCAUACAGCGAAGGGGUUGAAAAUUUUGCAGACUUAACAAAUCGAUGUUCUAAAAGAGUGAACACGUUGCACCCUUCGUUUCUCAGACUACGCUCUUAUGAGUAAAGUUGGGGAAGAACGAAUCGUAAUGAGAGGGGUGUUUGUCUCUUCCGAUUUGUCGCUUUAUUGACCACCAUACUGAACAUAUUAAGACGUGGUAUACUGUAAAAUAGAUCAGAUUAUGUUAUUAUAGAAGGGGAUGACUAACGCAAAGCGACAAAUUUAAUAAGGGUAACUGAAUAUACUAUGUCUCACCCCCAAUACCCUUUAUUCAUCCUUUCUUUUCAUGGUCAUGGUUUUCAGGACUAGGAACGCGUUUACUUAUUUACGUGAACACACCCUCGCUUCGGUCAAACGAACACGACCCCUUCAAAAGAGAUGCAACGAAGGUUAGACGCGGAAGAAAUUUUUGCUUGAAAUGUUACGAAGAAAUUGUGUAGAAAUACUAAUGCAUCGGAUACAUUUAUACAUAUAAAGAUAAAAUAUUAAAUGCAGAAAGCAUUUUCGCUAGAGUAAUACGAUCUACACAGUUUUCCUGCACCUCCUAGCAUUGAAAUCACCCGAUAAAUUCAGUGAUCGCAAUGCUGUCUAUGGAAUCACGGUGAUCGGUAACUUGUAACUUACUUUGAAAUAAUCAGUGUUUUAUCGUGAAUAUUUCGAAGAUAAUUCUUACUACAUCUGUGAAUUAUUUUCUAUUUGAAUACCAGCGAAACGAAAUCCAAUAUAAUUCACCUGUUCAAGGACAUUUCUGUAAGGCAGUAACAAGAAAUAUUGUAGGAAAAGACUUACAUAAUUAUUAUUUAAAGAUAAGUAAUCUCCGUUAAUAUAAGUUUUUCAUGAAAAUAUGAAUUUCACUUUGAACUUUACGGUCCAUAAAGAUAAACAAAAAUUAAACGUGAAAGUUUCCUGUAAAAUUACUCUAGUACCAGUACUCUACAUUAACACUUUACUGGUUCGAUGACUAUUUGAAUCAUUACGAAAUGCUAUUAAGAAUGUGCAAUAAUCUUAUGCAACAUUAAUGUUAUCCGUAACGAAGAUCUUUUUAUUUCCCAUUUAAUCAAUUAUUUCGGUAGUCCACUUGUUCGCGAUGUUAGACCCUUUUCAAGGAUAUCUUUUUCUCAUUCAUGCGAAAACAAUAGACCCAUCUAUUAAAGAGGUAAUCGGAGUAUAGUUGAAAGCGCCCGACUGUUUGGGCUCAGUGACGCUUCAAUCUGUGCAACGCUGCGAGAGAGUAGUACGAAACGUGUGCCUCUGCGACGGACGCAAUGAGAUCCGUACCCAAUGCAGAACGAUCAGGAACGAGCUUUCACUUUCCUCGAACGGCUUGCACAAGCGAAACACUACAGUAGUUAGGGAGUACAACAUUUAUCAUGAAAAAAGAAAAAAAAGUCGAGUUAAAAGUAUUAAGUAUAGGUCUCGUGAAAUUUGUAGAAGAGAGAAGAACGCGAAACUCUGGUGUUUGAAAAUGGGGAAGAGGAAAGAGUAUGGGAGAGACGCUUUAUCGAUUAAGCACAGUCAACCCCUCUUUUCUUACCUGUAGAAAAAAAAUCUGCCGAUGUAGACGGCAAUAGCCACGAUUCCCUAUAAAAUAUCCAUGUAAUUGUAACUGGCGCCAUGCAUUUGCAAAAGUUUUUUUCAACUAUCGAGUCUGACACUGUGGACAUGAGAGUCCUCGACUCUCAAAAAACUGAUCCUUGUGUACCGCGUCACGAUAAUCAUGCAGAAAAAUAUACAUAUAUUGCACUGAUUUAAUUGAAACACUAUUGUACACGUUUAGUUGCAAGCAAGCUCAAAUAAUCGCGAAUAUAUUCUUGUUGACUGUCGCGAAAACAACCCUACACCACCCCGACGCACGACGCGUCCAGCGAACACUAAACAAAAUGGCGCGUACCAUUUUGUCUACAGCUUCGACACCAGAGUGCGCCUGCUUUCUGUGUGAGUGUAAAGGAUAUUGUUCUCUCCUGACAGAGGGGACAAAGUACCGAACAGGUUCGUCUAUUCAAACUACGCCUCUUGGUAUUCGAGUCGCAUACGCAUACGAACUGCGUAUUGUAUUGCAUGUGUGAGCGGGGCGCAGGUUUGCAGGGACGAACAUAUAUUUUUCGGAAUAUCUACGAAAUCUCUGCACCUUCAAUUUUACAUAUUCCUUUUAUAAAAGUUCGAUUAAUUCAUCGAAUAUUAUUAGAUCAGAGUUACAAACAGUAACACAGGUAUUAUUAUAAUAUUUAAUAAUAAUCUAGUGACGAUUAAUACCGUUUAAAAAAAUAAUAGGUUUGUCCCUGUACACAUUAGAUGGCGCCACUGCUUCAACCCCGUAAUACGAAAAAUCGCUAAUUCAAAGCUCCGAAAUAUUACGUUCUCAUUUCUGUGUAGGAAGAAAAUAGAUUUUAUCAAUUCUAAAACUGCUUCAUAUAUUUUGAAAGGUAUCAUUAAAUGAUAUACGGACAAUUCUUCUCUUCUUUUUAUUAGCUACACACACUAUUGUUAGAUUUCGAAGAGUGGGGCAUACUUAAAGGUACUCAAUAGUCAGGAUAUACAGUGGGGGCGAAAAAGGGACAGCAAACGAGUUUCUAACAAUCGUAGAUGUAUGUAUGUACCUGUAACGCUUGACCGAUGUUAGAAAACGAUUUGGAAAAUGCAUCUGUGUUGAAAACCUUAUGUAUCUACGACAGAACAUUACGUUUAAAAAUUAAAAAGAAUACAUAUUUGUUUGUAUUGUUUCAUAGAAUUUGGCUGCCCCUUUGCACAGGCGCAGAAGCACUUUCUUAUAUUGUAUGUAUGUACAGUACCUGCAGAUACAAAAAGACUAUACAUACAUGCCUUUCUUCUUGAGGAGUCCUGAUUUUGGGGUCCCGGACACCCCCCAGGUGAAGCUUGAUCUACAUGAGGAGAGCACAGUCAGUAUAACAAUCGUGCCUGUUUCACGAGUUCCUCUUUUACCACACUUGGCACAGACAACUAAAAGGACACAAUUUGGAUUCCCUUCCAUUCCCUUCCAAUAAUUGUUUGACAAACCUGUAUAUUAGUAUAGUAGUAUAGAUCGCCUGUAUAGAUUAGUAUUGCUGUAUAUCAUGCGGCUUGGUAAAUAAAU